RNAcentral lists this long non-coding RNA (3044 nucleotides) under Triticum aestivum (bread wheat). Its description in RNAcentral is "long non-coding RNA (TAES_LNC006631)". Lineage: Eukaryota; Viridiplantae; Streptophyta; Magnoliopsida; Poales; Poaceae. The record is from RNAcentral.
UCUACCGCACGACCUCCCCCUCCUCCUCCCGCGCCCUUCGCCGCCCCGUCGUUUCUCUCGCAGCCGGCGCGCAGCCGUUAGCCGCAGGAGCUGCUCCGCCGCGCCCUUCGCCGCCUCUCCCGCAGCCGCGCCCUUCGCUGCAGGUCGCCACGGGAGCCGCCCCGCCGCGCCCUUCGCCGCCUCCCGUAGCCGAGGACGAGGCGAGGAUCUCGGAGAGCAACGUGAUGGUGGGGAUCCAUUGCUAGGACGCAAGAGGGUGCUUGUCAGGCUGCUCGCCGAGGUCGAGGGGCUACACCUAAUCAUCACGCACGCCAAUGUCAUCCCGUUCCUGGCUUCCACUGUUAUCAUAACCUUCAUGGCAAAGGUAAGUUCGUUUAGUUAAUUUACUCUCAGUUGCACAUUCGUAUUACAGUUUACAAGCUUCUUAAAGAGGAGAUUUUGUUAUGCUGUGACAUCUCUUAUGGCUACGGCUGUGAAGUUACUGUAUUUUUUGCUUGUUUUUUUCUUUCAGUAGACUGUAUUCAGUGAUAUGGUUACAGAAGCAAAGUGUGUUUUCCUUACAUUAAACAAAUAGUUGUUGUUCAAGUGUUAAUGCAAGUUUCAUACUCACCUGUCGAGAUCGAAAACUGAACUGAAAUCUUUAUUUGUUAUGUUGUCAGGUGGAUGAGGGCUUCAAUGUCUUGGCCUGCCGUGCGUGGUCCUAGCCAGAUGGUCACCACCGCAGUCGGUAUCAUUCAUCACCGUGCUUGACGGAACUGCUCGCCACCGAGUCGGGUGCACCACAAGUACGAACACGCCGCCAUCUACUCACUCCUCCCUUGCUGUAGGUCGGCAGAUGGUGAGGAACGUCCAUCCCAUGGUGAGUUUCAUUUUCCUUUAGACGAUUUGCCUCAGUAAGUUUGGGCUUUCUACGGUGGACCACAUUCUGGUGGACUACAUUGUACUGAAGGUGGAUUUGUAUUAUCGUAGAUCCAUGACUUCCAAUUAUUCCGCUGCCACACCGAUGUACACUUUAGAUUAUGAUAAUGCAAAUCCCUCCACCCCCACCUCCUCAGUUCGGAACAUUGUUCCUAUAAUAGUGAAGAUGAAAAACAAUUGAUCUUUUUGAGUAAAGAGCAAAUUUUAUCCUUGUUGAACCGCAGGUUGCAAGUUUCAUCGUCCCACGAUUAUAAACAAACUGGUUGAGACUUGACGUCCAGGUUAUUUAGACUGACCUACUGAACCAGGAACCAAGAUUGCUGUGUUUCAACAAUUGAGAAAAUAUCACAUAUGCAAAACCAGCUACCGACCAGAUUGUUAGAUCCUGGUGGUGUAAAUAAGAACGAAAGCUUCUGAAGAGAUCAGUGCACUAUCUCUUAUGCAAUGCUACUGCAAUUGAUUACUUUCCAAUCUCUGGUAAGAUCUACAGAGCUUAGCAAUAUCUCUCUUCUCAAAUUUACCAGGGUAUAUGAUGUAGUUUCUUUUCAUCUAAUAAGGUGCAUCAGGCUCAUUGCUGAAUAGUUUCUCUCAAAUAAUUUCUUUUUCAGCACAUUUUGUAUCAACUGCUAACUUUGAAUCUUUGCUUCUUUAAUCAGAUCAUGUCUAAAUCAUUAGAUGGCAUUUCCUGUUGUAGAGGCUUUCACACACAUGCAUGCCUAGAUUGUACUUUCAUUAUAUACGUGCUUAUCUACUACCCUGUCAGCACAAGAUGUUCCCACAACUGAUGCCAUCUACAACACUCAGGUUUCUAAGUUCCUAUGAUAUUCUUUGUAGAUUUAUUCUGCUCAUAUUUAUUGGGAACACUAGGAGGCAUUGCAAUAUCAUGGUAGCAAGGACAAUUACUAGCUAGCUGAACUGAGGUAAUAUAUUUAUUGUGUUGGUGGCUAUGAGAUGAUUUUGCUGAGACUGCAAAUUGCAUGUGUUAAACCUAUUAUCGGCACUAGAUUAAGCAUAGUUGGAAGGAAUAACCAUUGUUUUAGUGCUGAAAAUGUGUCACUGACAAAAACUAUUGCCUCGGAUGCAUAGCUUAAUCAUUGUAAAUAUUUUGGUGAUGUAUUCAAAACAACAUUUUCUGCACGUCCAAUAUUGACGGGUUAAUCCCAGUCUCCCAAUGGUUUAUUUGCAAGACAUGCCGCAUUUUCAGCAAGCUUGAAUCAAACUUGCUGGUGCCAGUUCUGCCCUUAAAACAUACACGUCCCUUCUAUAUUUCACAUGCAUGGGUUUCUUUAAAAAUGUACGUGUGGUGUAAGGGAGGAGGUUCUGAGUGUGGCAUGCCCUAGUUUGUCCCCUCUUUACUAGGUUCAGGGCUAGGUAUUGUGGAAUUUGAGAUCUCGCACUAAGCCCUCAAACUCUCUAGCAAGAUUAUGUUUACAUUAUUCGUAGGUACUAAAAAGUAUUCGGUACAAAUUUUGGGUGCCUCGAUGGUGGUAUUGAAUCAAGAGAUAAAUUUUCAAAUGAGACAGGUGUGGUAACUUUUUAAUUGAAAUGUUCAUGUUACCCUGUAUGGUUUGGAAACAAGUCGACAGAGUGCAUUUUUUCAGUGUAGGAUUGUUUGGAAACGAACGGUUCUCUUUUGAAUUUUGCAGUUUUUAUGACGAAUUGUUCAAUGUUGUUAAUGUGCAAUAGAAGCAUUUUCAAGAUUGCAAGAAAUAACACUCCGGAAUUGGAAAAAAAAUGUGCUAUGCAAUUUUUAAUCAAACACGCUAUUCUAAUUCCUUUCUACAAAUAGAUAAGCAUAGAUCAUUUUCAAGUAAGAGAAUUAUAAUAGCGCAAGCUCUAGAUGGCUGCUUAUAAUUCAAAAUACUCUUCAUUGUCUUGAUAAAGUAGUUCACUUGCAGGAUGUGGGGUUAAGGUUGGAAUGGAUAAACCUGGGUGGUUACUGCCAAGCAUUUGGAGAAAAUUGAGCCAAUGGAGUGUCUUGAAAGCAUCUCCAUAUUUACAGCUGAACAGAUUUGUUGUCAUAUGAAACAGAGAGAUUGUACCACACUUUGUAAAAUGCCGAGGCACAUUACAUGUUCUUUCUUACUACUUAUUUUACCACAUAUAAAAAGGUUUCAUUAUUGCUG